Molecule: ribosomal RNA, 402 nt
Filed under: uncultured bacterium
Lineage: Bacteria
Description: bacterial SSU rRNA
Rfam family: Bacterial small subunit ribosomal RNA
Source: RNAcentral
CGGAUAAUCUUCAUGUUUAACUUCAUGGGGUAAAGGUGGCCUCUGCUUGCAAGCUACCACAUCAAGAUGAGCCCGCGUCUCAUUAGCUAGUUGGUAGGGUAAUGGCCUACCAAGGCUACGAUGAGUAGCUGGUCUGAGAGGAUGACCAGCCACACUGGGACUGGAACACGGCCCAGACUCCUACGGGAGGCAGCAGUGGGGAAUAUUGCGCAAUGGGCGAAAGCCUGACGCAGCGACGCCUCGUGAGGGAUGAAGGUCUUCGGAUCGUAAACCUCUGUCAAGAGGGAAGAAACCCUUGGAUUCGAAUAGGGUCCUUGGCUGACGGUACCUCAAAAGGAAGCACCGGCUAACUCCGUGCCAGCAGCCGCGGUAAUACGGAGGGUGCAAGCGUUAAUCGGAAUC